This 20-nucleotide ribosomal RNA is filed under the name Limenitis glorifica. RNAcentral's name for it is "partial 28S ribosomal RNA". The record is from RNAcentral. Lineage: Eukaryota; Metazoa; Arthropoda; Insecta; Lepidoptera; Nymphalidae.
UGGCCUCGGAUCAGGAGAUC